GGGGGCUCCGCCGGGAUUGACGGCGCCAUCGGCCAAUCGCGGCGCAGCGCCGCCGCGUCUCAGCCAAUCAGCGGCGCGAGGCGCGGCGGAAGCCAAUGGGGGAGCGGCUGUGCCGGGCAGGGGGACAGCCCGGCGCCGAGCCCGGGCUCAUUCCGCGCUGCCGCCUGAUGGGGACGGAGCGGUCGCGGCUCCGCCGCGCCGGGUGCGGUGCGCGCUGCGCCCGCGGCCCGCCCGAGCCUGGGGGAGGCGGCGGGUCGGGGAGCGGCGGCCAAACCGGAGCCGCCCGGCCAGGGGCGAGCAGCCAGGAGGGAGGGAAAGGUGCUGCUGGAUGAGGAUCCAAGCCCAAGAGCUGCUCUUUUCCAAGGACUUUGGGAUUUCCAAACUCUUCCUAUUAGUUGGAGCAGAACUCAGGGCGGGAUGGAGAUAAAGUCUCAGCUGUGAGCAUGGAGAAAUUCCAGGGAUGUGGAUGAAAGCAGCAGGAAUUACGUUGGGAAUGGGACAGGAAAAGCUGGAUCCAGCUGCAGGUGUGUCCAGAGGUGACUCCUGGGCUGAAUCUUCGGGAAUUUUUAAUGGAAUUCUUGCUCCUGGUGCUGCUGGAAACCUUUGGGAAAGAACUUUUCUCUUGGAAAAAAAAAAAAUUCCCUGGGACACGCUUGGAUUUAAAAGGAAUUUCUGGGAAUCCA
Cinclus cinclus is the source of this 683-nucleotide long non-coding RNA. RefSeq lists it as uncharacterized. The transcript is spliced from 4 exons. NCBI's taxonomy places the organism in Eukaryota, Metazoa, Chordata, Aves, Passeriformes, Cinclidae. The record is from RefSeq and is a predicted model, not a curated record.